RNAcentral lists this long non-coding RNA (431 nucleotides) under Physcomitrium patens. RNAcentral describes it as "long non-coding RNA (PPAT_LNC009260)". Lineage: Eukaryota; Viridiplantae; Streptophyta; Bryopsida; Funariales; Funariaceae. The record is from RNAcentral.
UUUGAAAACCUAAAAUAUUUAAGGAGCUUAUAUUCAAGAUCAUGUUAAAAAAAUUAAAUAUAUUUGAAUUUAUAUUAAAAAAAAAAAAAUGCACUUGGAUUGACACUUCUAAUCAAGUUUAAAUUAAGUCAAGAACUUUAGGGGAAUCAUCAGAAUUACUCCACAAUGAUAGUAGUAUAUAGUCAAAUACAUGCAACUGCUUUAAACAAAAGUAGAACUUGUAAAAAAAUCCUCACAACAGAAAGAAAAAAUAAUUAUUUAAAUGAUACAUUCUAAAAACAUGUGAUGGCUAAUUUGAUAAUUCAACAGAUGCAUUUUGCAGAUUUAAACCAAAAAAGUGCUACAAGAAUUAUGAAAUGGCUUUGCUAAUAUUGGCGUAUGAACCGUUAAUAGCUUCACCAUUUUCAGAAGUUGUAACACAUCACCUUCCA